CAGAGAAACCAUGCCCUAAGAAGAAGAGGGAGGUGGGCUAGACAUUCGCUAUAGUAAGACCAUGCAUGUGUGUCACCAGAACUAGUUCUUUACCUGGGUCUGGUUUUCUGAAUGCUAGUGACCAGC
Rattus rattus (black rat) is the source of this 126-nucleotide small nucleolar RNA. RefSeq annotates it as small nucleolar RNA SNORA72. Lineage: Eukaryota; Metazoa; Chordata; Mammalia; Rodentia; Muridae. The record is from RefSeq and is a predicted model, not a curated record. The transcript has a single exon.